AAAGGGGGCUUGCUCCUGGAUUCAGCGGCGGACGGGUGAGUAAUGCCUAGGAAUCUGCCUGGUAGUGGGGGAUAACGUCCGGAAACGGGCGCUAAUACCGCAUACGUCCUGAGGGAGAAAGUGGGGGAUCUUCGGACCUCACGCUAUCAAAUGAACCUAGGUCGGAUUAACUAGUUGGUGGGGUAAAGGCCUACCAAGGCGACGAUCCAUAACUGGUCUGAGAGGAUGAUCAAUCACACUGGAACUGACACACGGUCCAGACUCCUACGGGAGGCAGCAGUGGGGAAUAUUGGACAAUGGGCGAAAGCCUGAUCCAGCCAUGCCGCGUGUGUGAAUAAGGUCUUCCGAUUGUAAAGCACUUUAAUUUGGGAGGAAGGGCAGUAAGUUAAUACCUUGCUGUUUUGACGUUACCAACAGAAUAAGCACCGGCUAACUUCGUGCCAGCAGCCGCGGUAAUACGAAGGGUGCAAGCGUUAAUCGGAAUUACUGGGCGUAAAGCGCGCGUACGUGGUUCAUCAAGUUGGAUGUGAAAUCCCCGGGCUCGACCUGGGAACUGCAUCCAAAACUACUGAGCUAGAGUACGGUAGAGGGUGGUGGAAUUUCCUGUGUAUCGGUGAAAUGCGUACAUAUAGGAAGGAACACCAGUGGCGAAGGCGACCACCUGCACUGAUACUGACACUGACGUGCGAGAGCGUGGGGAGCAAACAGGAUUAAAUACCCUGCUAGUGCAUGCCGUAAACAAUGUCUGACUAGCCGUUGGGAUCCUUUGAGAUCGAGUGGCGCAGCUAAACGCGAUAAGUCAACCGCCUGGGGAGUACGGCCGCAGGUUAAUAACUCAAAUGAUUUGACUGGGGGCCCGCCCAACAGUGGAGCAUGUGGUUUAUUC
Molecule: ribosomal RNA, 886 nt
Filed under: Pseudomonas sp. PX-L-Y.P.sp
Lineage: Bacteria; Pseudomonadati; Pseudomonadota; Gammaproteobacteria; Pseudomonadales; Pseudomonadaceae
Also listed under: 1 other name
Description: bacterial SSU rRNA
Rfam family: Bacterial small subunit ribosomal RNA
Source: RNAcentral